Long non-coding RNA from Pezoporus flaviventris, 435 nucleotides. RefSeq lists it as uncharacterized. The transcript has 2 exons. Lineage: Eukaryota; Metazoa; Chordata; Aves; Psittaciformes; Psittacidae. The record is from RefSeq and is a predicted model, not a curated record.
CUGGCCACUUCUUCCAGCACAGGCUGGCCACCUGUGUUGGAAUGAGUGUGCAUUUUGGUCAGUAUAAAAGCCCAAGCCUCAUACGAUGUGGGUGAGGCAGAGCCUCUGCGGGGAUGCCCGCUAAGGUUGAGCCUGCCACCUCGCACUGCAAUGAUGCUUCUCGGAGCUGGUUUGCUGUUAUCUUCACAGGGUCCUUGUGCCACAUUCUGUACGUGGGACUGUGUAGUGGGAGUAAUGAUUGUCUGGAUUUUGUGUUUCAAAUAUUGUAGUUGUGUGGAGCGUGCUUGUGGGAUCGCAUGUGUGUGUGUGUGUGUGAUGAGGGCAGACGGUGUUCUGUGUAUUUUUUGUUGUCGGGCUCAUGUAAAAGUUUUUAACGGGUAGCAGUUUAACAUUUUGGUCAAGAAAGGGUUAAUGCAGAAGUGCGGUUGCUGGCAG